ACAGUCGAGCGGAGAUGAGGUGCUUGCACCUUAUCUUAGCGGCGGACGGGUGAGUAAUGCUUAGGAAUCUGCCUAUUAGUGGGGGACAACAUUCCGAAAGGAAUGCUAAUACCGCAUACGCCCUACGGGGGAAAGCAGGGGAUCUUCGGACCUUGCGCUAAUAGAUGAGCCUAAGUCGGAUUAGCUAGUUGGUGGGGUAAAGGCCUACCAAGGCGACGAUCUGUAGCGGGUCUGAGAGGAUGAUCCGCCACACUGGGACUGAGACACGGCCCAGACUCCUACGGGAGGCAGCAGUGGGGAAUAUUGGACAAUGGGCGGAAGCCUGAUCCAGCCAUGCCGCGUGUGUGAAGAAGGCCUUUUGGUUGUAAAGCACUUUAAGCGAGGAGGAGGCUACUUAGAUUAAUACUCUAGGAUAGUGGACGUUACUCGCAGAAUAAGCACCGGCUAACUCUGUGCCAGCAGCCGCGGUAAUACAGAGGGUGCGAGCGUUAAUCGGAUUUACUGGGCGUAAAGCGUGCGUAGGCGGCUGAUUAAGUCGGAUGUGAAAUCCCUGAGCUUAACUUAGGAAUUGCAUUCGAUACUGGUCAGCUAGAGUAUGGGAGAGGAUGGUAGAAUUCCAGGUGUAGCGGUGAAAUGCGUAGAGAUCUGGAGGAAUACCGAUGGCGAAGGCAGCCAUCUGGCCUAAUACUGACGCUGAAG
Molecule: ribosomal RNA, 699 nt
Filed under: Acinetobacter sp.
Lineage: Bacteria; Pseudomonadati; Pseudomonadota; Gammaproteobacteria; Moraxellales; Moraxellaceae
Description: bacterial SSU rRNA
Rfam family: Bacterial small subunit ribosomal RNA
Source: RNAcentral